UACAGAGGUGCCGAGCGUUAGGCGGAAUCACUGGGCUUAAAGCGUGUGUAGGCGGAUGCCUAAGUACCGUUGUGAAAUCCCCGGCUUAACCGGGAACUGCUUGGUAUACUGGGUGUCUUGAGCCACUUAGGGGCGACGGAACAACGGUGGAGCGGGUGAAUGCGUAGAUAUCGUUGGAACGCCAAUGGUGAAACAGGUCGCUGGACGUGUGCUGACGCGAGACACGAAGCCGGGAGCGAACGGG
RNAcentral lists this ribosomal RNA (244 nucleotides) under uncultured bacterium. RNAcentral describes it as "partial 16S ribosomal RNA". It matches the Rfam family "Bacterial small subunit ribosomal RNA", at positions 524 to 776 of the family's 1533-position model. The record is from RNAcentral.